Acinonyx jubatus (cheetah) is the source of this 3786-nucleotide long non-coding RNA. RefSeq lists it as uncharacterized. The transcript is spliced from 6 exons. Lineage: Eukaryota; Metazoa; Chordata; Mammalia; Carnivora; Felidae. The record is from RefSeq and is a predicted model, not a curated record.
UCCUGCCAGACGGAAGGUGUUUCACAAAGUUUAUUUGCAUGGAAUUUGGGACACAGAGCUGGAUUAAAAUUCUGGGUCUGCCUUCUAUUACUAUUAUUAUAUUACUAUUAUUAUCAUUACUAUUACUAGUAUUCACUCACUAUCUCAAGCUCAUCCUUGACAAGCAUACACUCUGAUGAGCAUGACUUAAGGAGGCCUGAUAUAUUUUUUAAAGUUUUUAUUUAAAUUCCAGUUAGUUAACAUACAGUGUAAUAUUAGUUUCAUGUGUACAAUAUAGUGAUUCAACAUGUACAUACAUCACCCAGUGCUCGUCACAAGUGCCCCCCUUAAUCCCCAUCACCUAUUUCACCCAUCCCUCCCACCCCUUCCGGUAACUUUGUUCUUUGUAGUCAAGAGUCUGUUUCUCGGUUUGAAGGAAGACUUAUAUUUCAAUAUUAAACAUUUUCCCUUUAAUUUUCUUAGGUGGUAGCAGUAAUAAAUUUCCAGUUUUGGUUUCAAAUCCUGAUUAAAUUCCUAGUCUACUGCCUUGCAGACAGUGAGUAGGUGCUCAGUAAAUAAUGAAUGAUAGUCCAUACUUAAAAAAAUUUUUUUUAAAUGUUUAUUUAUUUUUGAGACAGAGAGAGAGAGCGAGCCGGGGAGGGGCAGAGAGAGGAGACACAGAAUCUGAAGCAGGCUCCAAGCUCUGAGCUGUCAGCACAGAGCCCGAUGCAGGGCUUGAAUCCAUGAACCAUGAAAUCAUGACCUGAGCCGAAGUUGGAUGCUUAACCGACUGAGCCACCCAGGCACCCCAAUAGUCCAUAUUUUUUAUUAUGAUCUCAAACUAGUGGGACCAUCUUUUAAAUUUUGAAUGCUCUUCUCUCUAGCAUAUGCAUUCAGGCACACCCCAUUUUUAAACCAAAUUCAACAAGGCUUUGAGUAGAUUUAGAAUGUAUAUUAACUUUCUACUCUGUGUAACAAAUUACUACAGAGAGAAUAAAGAUAGCAGACUUUUUUUCUCACACUUUCUGUGGCUCAGGAGUCCAGAAGCUUAACUGGAUGCUCUGCUUAGGGUCUCACAAGGCCACAUUCAAGGCUGGACAGUGUCAGCCUGGCUGUGUUCUUUUUCCAGGCCUGGGGUCCUCUUCCAAGUUCAUUCAGGUUGUUGGCGGAAUUCAGUUCCUUGUGAUUAGAGGAUUGAGGCCCUCAGCUCUCACAGGCAGUUUCCACAGGCAGUUUACAACAUGUCUGUUUGCUUCUUUAAGGCAGGAAAGUGUCUAACUUCGGAAGGACUCCGUCCACUUAAGGGCUCACCUGAUUAAGCCAGGCCCACCAGGAUAAUCUCUAUUUGGGUGAGUUCUGAAUCAACGAUACUGCAAAAAUCCUUUAACAUAACAGAAUUAUGAAGUGACAUCAUAUUCACAAUCUCACCCACAUCUAAAGGAAGGGGGUUAUACAAGACGUGUAGGGUUGUAUUGGGGGUGGGAGGAUCUUGGGGGCCAUGUUAGAAUCAGUCUAUGACAUCACGUGAUUUCCACAUGCCUAGGGCAGUCCGGUAGAUAUUUUUACAAAUACUCCAAAAUACGUUUACUCCAAAAUGCGUUUCUAGGUUGGAGUUGAGAUACUUUGGGCCUUGUUGAGGGCAGCCCCUCAUAAACACUUUGUGGUGCUUAUGAGCACCAUAAAGCCGAUGGCAUUAAUAGUUUCUAAAUGCCAGGUGCCGCGCAGAGGAGAGCUGGGGUGUGGACCUGUGCAUUCCCACUCUGGGGCCUGUUCGCUUAACUGCCGUGUCCUAAACAGAGUUUAGAUAGAUAUGCACUGACAAACGAAUGCAUGAUAAAUGAUUUGAAAUGACGAUUGUGAUGGCAAAUUUUAUGCCGGGCUUGAUUCCUCUCCCUCUCUCUCUCCCGCUCUCCGCGCCCCUUCCCCCGCCCGCUCUGUGACAUAAAUGCUUGGUUACUCAAGGCCACAGUAACAGGAGGCUAGGUAAACAGUACACCCCCACCCCCACCCCCCUUUCUUUUCAAGACGCGAAAAAGGAACAGAGCGUUAGGGGAGGAGGCUGUCGUGGCGUCUCAGGGGCUGGCAGGCCUGUGUGGUGGCCGUGAGGUCGUGCGGACGCCUGGCCCAGUCCCUGGCCGGCGAUCGCGAUCGGCGGUCACGGCCACCCGGGCUGCUCGUGUCUCCGAGGGGACGCUCCGCGCUGCUCUGACCGCGAGCGGUUUGGUAUCGUCCGCGCCUCUUUCUGGGGGCUAGGAUGUCCCUGGCCCAGCGCGUGUCCGCAGUAGACAGUGGGACCCUCCGUAGCCCCUGCAGAAACGAGUCUGAGGCACAAAAGACGGGAGGUCAGCCAGCCGGGGCUCCGCACUGCCUCCCUGCCCUUCCCAUGCCACCGUCUCCCCUCAAACCAGGGCUCGGCUUCUGACCUCCCCCAAGCCGCUAGAGACCCCAUCUGGUGGGCUUUCCUGCCCGCCCCCUCGCGGUGAGUGACUGCAGCACUGUGCCUGCUCGCCAGGGGUCGCAAAGUCCCGGCUCCAGGGGUCAGAACUGACAUUACAUUGAAACAAAGAGCAGGUGAAAGCUCUUCCUGGACCUACCCAGCUGCCCUAUCCAGCCUGGAGAUCCAAAGUGGGUGAUGGAUGGACUGCACAAUGUGGAGCCUUAUAGCCAGUGCAAAAAGUCGUGAAUGCUGAAACAGAUGCCCCAGCAAGUGCCAGUGGCAAAAGAACAAGCGCGUUUGCCUCCCUUCAAUCUUCCAAAUCAUGAGUGUGCGAUUGAUCAGUCUGAAUCCAGAACCUUGCUGGCCAGGGGCACUUUACCAUGCAGAUUCUGGUUGUCAGAUUUUGAAGACUAUUAUCUUUAUGAAGACAGGAACUAGAUUUACUUGAAUCAACAUUGGAACCUCACUACAGAACACUGAUAUAAGUGCUAAUUAAUAUCAGUAUAUGCCUAGUAUAUAAUGUUGAAACUAAAGCAACAGACAGACAAAAGGAAAUUGCCCAAAGUCACACAGGAAGUGGCAGAGGAGAUUAAAACCCAGGCCAUCUGAUGCUAAAGUCCUCAUCUAACCUUUGUGUUAUCCUGCCUCUCCAGGGUGCACCACAGGCCUUUCAUUCCAAAGACUGGAUAAAAAGAGGAUUUGGAGUCCAAGAGCUGAGAACCACAGCCUCAUUGGAGCAACAAGAUUAUAGACCCAUUGAGAGCAGGGAUGUGGCCAUUCUUGUGUACCUCCUCCCACCCUGCUACAGCCCUGGACAACAGUCCAGUGACCCAGACAACACUCCAGUGAGCCAAGCAUAGAAUGCAAGUCUUCUCCACGCCUGUGAACUGGCUGGGUCACUUACCAGUGUGUGACCUUGGGCGUCCCCUGAUCUCUCAACUUCCUUAUCUGGAAGCUGGGGCUAUGAACACACCUGUUUUACGGAACCAUGACAAAUAAAGGAGAUACUAUGCGCAGAAGUACCUCGCACUCUCUUCCCAGCUAAGCCCAGGCUGUCUUCCUCCAAUUACAUAAUUGGGUAUUUAAUUACCACUGAGGUAGGAAACAAGAGUUCACCUUCCUUAUUUCUGUGAUGCUGGCCUCUGCUUCCCUAGACAUUUUUGUUCUCCUUGGCCAACUCCCCUUACUUUAUCAUCUACCUUUUAAAUGUAUGCUUGUACAAGGCAGCAGAGUGUGGGGUCAAUAGCAUAGGGCGAGGCUUAGGUUGCCACCAUUCCAGUUGUAAUUAUACCACCUGCUAGAGUAUAACCUCAGGCAAGUGACUUAACCUUCCAGUGACUCAGUUCCUUAACAUUGAAAUGAAAAAUCAC